Molecule: non-coding RNA, 4336 nt
Organism: Meleagris gallopavo (turkey)
Lineage: Eukaryota; Metazoa; Chordata; Aves; Galliformes; Phasianidae
Source: RefSeq, a predicted model, not a curated record
CUAUAAAGGAAGGCAGUUAGAAGACUUUCAAGCUUUCUUUUUCAGCAGGGCUCAUCUGGCAGCUGGCUGGAGUUAGUAGAAGAUGAGAGAGGUACAUGAGAAGAAAAUGCUGGAAAUUGAAUAUCCUGAACUUUUGGUUAAGAUGGUAAAAUUUGAAGCCUGGACAAACAGGAGCUUUACAACCUUCGGAAAAGAGGAGUACUCAUGGAGUACUCAUAGUACCAUUGACACUACCUGGGAAGCAUCUGGCUGAGUAGCAGCCCUCACCAGAAGGACUUAGAGGUUAUGAUGGAUACUAUGUUGAAGAUGUGCUGACAGUGCACUGUCACAGCAAAUAAGGCGAAUAGCAGAAAUCUUCAUUAGAAGGAAAAUAGCCAAAUGCUUGAUGAAUGCUAGGUGAAUGUAUGUAUUCCAGCAGGGCUACAAAAGCUUGGUCUUUGUGAUGUUCUUCCACAAGACACCUUAGAUGCUUUAUUGUUCUGAUGCAAACAGCACUGUGGCUUUGUUCACGUAAAGACAUGGGGUAAUAAGAUCAAAGCUGUCUUGGGUACCAUUCUGUAGGUUCCAAUUACACCUCUGGUUGAAGCACAGACAGAUAUUUUCAUCUUGACUUGCUUCUGGAAGUACCCUCCUCUUCCUCUUCCACUCCCACCCUGCAGCUCAGUGUCUGGAGUCAACCUCAGCUAAAUACCAGAAGACACCAGAAAUGUGAGCCAGCUGCUCAGAUGCUCAGAGAAAUGACCUGAGAAGAAAGAGCCAGGUGACACAUCCCAGGAAAUCCUGUCCUAAAAGGAAAAUGCAUUCAUCAUUCAGAUAACUUCUGCCACUGAAAAGCCAUCUGGAUAAACAAGGAAAGAGUUACACAACCGUUGCACAGAUCCUCAUCCUUUCCUGUCCACUUGUAGAAAGGCAGAUGUGUUAAAUAAGGCUUCAUCUGUGGGCAGAGAGUAGAAUGGGAGACUGUGGGGGAGAAAGCACAGCCUGGAAUUCCUGAGGCCAGCAGUAAGGAGAGCAAGUGCUGUGCUUCUGUCAUCAGAUCCUUUGUGUCGUGCACAAUACUCAUAACUGGAAGUUGGGCAGUGAAGACACAGUGAUCAACACAGUUGUGUCACCCGGAGAAAAUGGAAACUUGUAUCGUCAGAAGACCACCUGCAGAAUCUCAUUUUCUCCAGCUUCUCCACUUCUAAACAAGGCAUUGCUAAGUGUCAUCACAAGAUCCAUCUUCUUCCUACACCUCAACCACACCACUGCCCAGGUAGUGAGUCUCCACUGCAAGAGAUGGUCAUCAAGCUGACUUCCCUGCAUUACCUGUCCUCACUCAGCAGCCCUGUGCCCCCUCAUUCCUCCCAGAUGCCUAUCUUUCUGCUCUCCAGCAGGUGCCAAGAUCUUUCCAGAUCUUUCCCUUGUACUCCGUGUCUUCCAGAAGGAAGGAGGAAGUUGGAGGUGUCUGAUGACUUGGGGAGGCAAGAGGAGAGUCAGAAAUUCAGUAGAUGCCUUUGGAGCACUGUGGUGAUUUUCUACAAAGUUAGAAUGGAGAAGGAAUAAAUUAUUGCUGAAGAUUCACAGGCUGACAAGAACCUUAUCAGGAAGCGAUUGGAAGACAUUUUCAUUAGUGUUACCAUUUAUAGCUAUAAAUAAUAGGAGAAGCAUUAACCAAAGAAAGCCUAUUGUCACCUGCAUCCAAAGGCAAGAGAAAUCUUUGAGGAAGAGCCAUGUUCAGUGCUGUUUUUCCAUUUUAGAGAGGGUCAACACAGAAAUCUGACUGGUAGCCUCAAAAACUGAAUGAAACCUAUACCCCUCAAAAACCAAGAAGAAAUGGAGUACUGCAGAGACUUCAUUCCCCCUCACUCAAGAGGACAGGCUGUAGGUCAGACUGGGAAGUCAUAGCAAUCUGUGUGUAUUCACAGACUGAACUGAAUCCCUCAUAAAUAGUGGAAUAUCAUCUGGGAGAAAGUCUGUUAUGAGAACAGUCUUGGAAGCUAGCUAGAAUAUGGCAAAUCUAUUGAGCAGCUGAGAUAACAAGAACACACGCAGGAGAGUUAAGGGCAGAAGGAAAUGGGUGUACAGUAUGUGUCAUAAAUUACAAAAGGAGAGUAUGCAGGGUGUGCAUGGGAGACUGAAUGCUGUGAGCAAAGGUCAGGACCAGACACUGAAAUGAAAAGGUACAUGUGUGAUGCAGCAGAAGCUGUAACCUAACUCGUUUGUAGGAAAAUUCACAAGGAGAUGGGAAAGGAAAUAUUUUUAUUUACUUUUUUUUCUUUCCUGCCAAAUACUGCGGGUCAUUAGCUGGGACAAGCUGUUGGUAACAGAGCAGGCUCUCCAGAGACCAAGUUCUUACAUCCCAGCUCUGAGGCUGCCAGUUAAAGUUGAGGCAUCUCAGAGUCACAUCAUCUACAGAGACCAGCAUUCCCCAUAGGACUGGCCUGGGAUGCCUGGCUGUAGCGCCAGAGGCAAGCUGGGGUUGUUUCUCAUCACAGAACUGAAGGCAGCAGGGUUUAAGGGAAAUGAGAAGGCAAAGGCUGGCCUGUUUGAUUCAAAUAGUCCCUUCUAGCAUAAAGGGAGAUGCUAUAGACAAUCCCAGUUUAUGGCAUGAGCUCUCCUCUGAGCACUUCUAGAGAGGUAUUUAAAUCCCUGCUCUAAGCUCAUGCUGCAAAAGCCGUGGAUCAGACCCAGGGAUGUCUGUCCUGUUUCAGUAUUCUAAGUGCAGGUUCCUCCCCCAGUGCUCAGGGGAAGGGCUGUGCAGUGGCAGAGCCGUAAUUUACAGAUGAUGAUGUGGGCUUCAGUCUUUAUUUUUACUGUUCAAAUCCUCUGUGUCCUGUGACUUUGUUCCUCAUUCACAAACAGUGAAAAAUAUCACUUCCUUGUUCUGAAGAAGAAAUAGAGCAAAUAGCUUGAGAUGUGAUGCUGCAUCUGUAGAAGCCAUGGAGUACUGCAGCUGUGAAAUAUGACUUUGUUCUUGCAUAAAAUAUAUGCAUGCAGUGUUAAUUGCACAAAGAGAAUGAACGUGAAGCAUGAGCUCAACUGCUGAAUUGCAGGAAAGGAAAACUGCAUGACAACCUGAAGACCUGUAUGAUUCCAUCCCACUCCCCAUCCCUGUCACGCUGCUCGACAUAUUUAAAAUCUCCAGAGAUCCUCCUUUAAGAUACCAGUGUUUCCCAUUGUGCUGGCUUUUAUUGGAUUUUGGGUGCCAUUCAGUUAUCCCCCCCCUCAGCCACUUGAAUUCUUGAAAUGCUGGGAUCAUAUUUCACCUGAUCUGGCACUGAACCAUGUUCGCUAUCUCACCCCAAAAUUAAUUAAACCAUAAAUUUUCAGAAUAAACAUGCAGCAUCUACUAUCACUGAAACAGUCUGGGCUUUGUUGAGGAAACUGCUAUGAGAACAAAGCUACCUCUUUCUCUUUCUUCCCACCCUGCACCUCUCUUCUCUUGAUGUGUAUCAGCAAAUACAGUAAAUACAGUACCUCCCUCUCUGUUACAAAGAGAGAUUUUUAUUCUGCUGUUGUCACCAUUUUAUAGACUUAGAAGAAACUGUAACAGUUCACAUGGUGAGGUCUUGCAGGAGGGCAUUAUCUCCAGGGAAGUAACUACUGAGAUGAAAAGGAGCUGUUUUCCAAUAUUAAUACAACUGGGUAUUUACAACUUUGGCUCUGACAAUACUUAAAGCUUGGAAGAUAUCAACGCAAUGUUCCAAAACAGUCUCCAAUUAAAUUACUGGAGAGAAAAUAACUAAAACAAGGAUAUCCACUCUCUAUUCUGGACCUGUAGGUAGUCUGCAGGCUGAUGAAUCCAUCUAAGACCCAAAGGAAAACUUACAUCCCCUGAAACUUGCUUAUUUUUUCCUUUAACUUGCUUGUUCCAGUUAAAAUGUGCUUCCUCUCCCUGCAGUUUACUGUCAAGAACUCCUCCGCUUUACCCACAUGAUUCAGAGACCUUUAUCCUUAUCCUCAGGUGUUCUACUCCCAUCUGUGCCCAUAAAGCAAACUGGACUGCUGCUUGGGUGGGAGACCUACAGAGCAUUAUGGUUGCUACAGGCGGUGUAACUAAAGGUGGCAUUUUUAUUCCUUGAAGCAACCAUCAGCCAACACCCUCACCUGGUAUUCAAGGUUGUGGGUUGAUAGAUAUAAAUCUGAGCUCCUGACCAGCUCUGGUCUUUGGAAAUUCUCUACUAUGUCUGAUUGUGGCUCUGGUGCAAUGGUGUUAUGGCUGUGUUCCAGCUCUGCUAAUUUGCACUCUUCCAACUUACACUCUCCUGUGCUUUGAUAGAAUGCUGUGCACUUCUUCAGCUCUUAAACAUAUGUCUAGUGCAGAUAAAUGUUGUUUCUUCCUAGCCAAAAUGAA